Non-coding RNA from Tetranychus urticae (two-spotted spider mite), 1792 nucleotides. Lineage: Eukaryota; Metazoa; Arthropoda; Arachnida; Trombidiformes; Tetranychidae. The record is from RefSeq and is a predicted model, not a curated record.
AUAAACAAAUGGAGAAUGUAGAUAUUUUUAUGUAGAUAUAGAGAGGCUAGAUAUUUUUUCUAACCUUCCAUUAUGAAUUUAAGAAACAAUGAACCUGAACAUGAUUUACCGGCUUUAUUCACACUUCGGCCAAAACUUAAUACAAAGCUACAUUACCAUCACCAUUUAGUGUUGUGAUUUUCUGUGGUGUUCAUUUCAAUUUGUUUAAAAACCCUGUGAAAAUGUCUUUUGAAAAAAUGCAGGUAAAUAGUCUUGAAAUAUCAAAUGAAGAGGCGCAAAAUCUUAAUAAACUGGAUUUAAAUGAAACAAUUGAACCUAGCGCUUUUAACCUUUUUGCAAAUUAUUAUGUUAGAAAUGUGUCACUCUUAACCAAUGUUGAAUAUUUUCAUGCACGAUUUCAAAAUCCGAAAAAUUUGACCUGCUUCGCCAUAAAAUUGGAAUUUUCUAAUGAAGUUGUGGAGGUAGUUGCUGUCUUGAACGAAAAAAGGAUGCACGAAAUUUGGCAGAAGCUAAAAUGAUUCAAGAGCCAAUACCAGAAUACCAAAUUUUUUCAACGUAAGUAACCUUGGGAUUGUUUCUCAAACGAUUUCUAAAACUUUUCACGCACUUUGAUAGGCUCAUAUUAUUUUCAAUACGAUAGGUUUACCUAAAUUCAGGGGCAUUUGCUUCAUGGUAGCAGUUCUCGUUCAAUUUUUCUGGUCGCAUGACAUCGUCAUCUCUCUGAUGAAUUUCAGAUUUGAAAACGAAUCAUUAAAAGGCCGAUUGCUUUCGGCUUUGAUUAAGCUUUUGUGCAUUUAUACUAAAGCCGCAAGAAAUGAAUUUCUCGAAAUGAUUAACUGCCCAACCAAUAUGCAUUUAAAAUAUGAUCGACCAAUCAUUUCGAAACUAAAACAUAACCCUAGGAGACCUGGAUUCAAAGCCGAAGUUGAACUGGACGCCCAUAUGAUGGCAAUAUUGAAGAUUUUAGCGCAGGAUAAAAGUAUGUCUAUUAAUGAAACUUCUGUUUUUUUACAGGAGGGCAUUGUAUAAGUUUGUUUAAUGAUUUACUAAAUUCGAUUGAAAUGGAGUGCAAUGAACAUUCUGUAUAUAAGCCGUUGAAUCCCAUAUUCUCAAUAAUAUUUGCGUUAAAAAAUGGAAUUGAUCAGAAAAAAGUUAAUUAUAUUGUAAGAAAAAAUUAAAUAUCCAGGAAUUGAUUCACUUCAAAAGUUAAUUAAUACUUCAACUUUAAUAAAAGAUUUCGAUCAUUUUGUCAAUUUACUAAAGAUAUUGACCUUUCACGUUUCUGAUCCUAUGGACGAAUGGUUAAGCGAGGAAGAGAAUCUUAAAAUAAAUCAGCAGCUGUCAGUUGGCUCAUCUAAUGUCGAUUUAGCUGGUCUGGUUAUUGGUUUUCCAGCAUACAAAAAUGCUGAAGGUGUGAUAAUAAAUAGGUACAUCAAAUAGAAGCCGGGUUACACUUUGGCUACAAAUCAUGCAAUUUCAUUGAUAAAAACUGAGGAUGGUUUCGUAGAAAGCAACAACCAUGAAAUUUUAAAGCCAACUAGAGACUACAAUGUAUUACGCCCGCAAAUGAUACUUUUUUAUAGAGUUCUCAAUUAAAAUUUUCCACUCAUUGCUAGUGUCGUGAUUAUGCAAGUUGAUUUCGAUGCUUGAAAUUUCGAUCAAACUAUCUGAAUAGAGCAAUCAGCGUUUACACCUGUCUGUCAGGUCUUGUAUGGUUUACCAAGGCAAUUGUCCAAAUAAUUAUGGAUGAUUUGAAAGUCGUCACAUAUAAGUUCAUAAGCGUUUCUAUGAA